AGCGAACGCUGGCGGCAGGCUUAACACAUGCAAGUCGAGCGGGCACUUUCGGGUGUCAGCGGCGGACGGGUGAGUAACGCGUGGGAACGUGCCCUCUGGUUCGGAAUAACUCAGGGAAACUUGAGCUAAUACCGGAUACGCCCUUUUGGGGAAAGGCUUGCUGCCGGAGGAUCGGCCCGCGUCUGAUUAGCUAGUUGGUGAGGUAACGGCUCACCAAGGCGACGAUCAGUAGCUGGUCUGAGAGGAUGAUCAGCCACACUGGGACUGAGACACGGCCCAGACCCCUCCGGGAGGCCGCAGGGGGGAAUAUGGGACAAUGGGCGCAAGCCUAAUCCCCCCCUGCCGGGUGAGUGUUGAAGGCCUUAGGUUUGAAAAGCUUUUUUUCCCGGGACGAAAAGGCGGGUACCGGGGGAAAAAGCCCCGGCUAACUUCGU
This 434-nucleotide ribosomal RNA is filed under the name uncultured bacterium. RNAcentral's name for it is "partial 16S ribosomal RNA". It matches the Rfam family "Bacterial small subunit ribosomal RNA", at positions 28 to 506 of the family's 1533-position model. The record is from RNAcentral.